RNAcentral lists this transfer RNA (85 nucleotides) under Elusimicrobiota bacterium. RNAcentral describes it as "Elusimicrobia bacterium (groundwater metagenome) tRNA-Leu". It matches the Rfam family "tRNA". From Rfam's summary of the family: Transfer RNA (tRNA) molecules are approximately 80 nucleotides in length. The record is from RNAcentral. Lineage: Bacteria; Pseudomonadati; Elusimicrobiota.
GCCGGCGUGGCGGAACUGGCAGACGCAAGCGACUCAAAAUCGCUCGUCCCUCGGGGACAUGUGGGUUCGACUCCCUCCGCCGGCA